This 253-nucleotide ribosomal RNA is filed under the name uncultured bacterium. RNAcentral describes it as "partial 16S ribosomal RNA". It matches the Rfam family "Bacterial small subunit ribosomal RNA", at positions 524 to 776 of the family's 1533-position model. The record is from RNAcentral.
UACGUAGGGUGCGAGCGUUGUCCGGAAUUACUGGGCGUAAAGAGCUCGUAGGUGGUUUGUCGCGUUGUCCGUGAAAACUCACAGCUCAACUGUGGGCGUGCGGGCGAUACGGGCAGACUGGAGUACUGCAGGGGAGACUGGAAUUCCUGGUGUAGCGGUGAAAUGCGCAGAUAUCAGGAAGAACACCCGUGGCGAAGGCGGCUCUCUGGGACGGUACUGACGCUGAGACGCGAAAGCGUGGGGAGCGAACAGG